Molecule: ribosomal RNA, 468 nt
Filed under: uncultured bacterium
Lineage: Bacteria
Description: partial 16S ribosomal RNA
Rfam family: Bacterial small subunit ribosomal RNA
Source: RNAcentral
GAUGAACGCUGGCGGCGUGCCUAACACAUGCAAGUCGAGCGAUUCUCUUCGGAGAAGAGCGGCGGACGGGUGAGUAACGCGUGGGUAACCUGCCCUGUACACACGGAUAACAUACCGAAAGGUAUGCUAAUACGAGAUAAUAUGCUUUUAUCGCAUGGUAGAAGUAUCAAAGCUCCGGCGGUACAGGAUGGACCCGCGUCUGAUUAGCUAGUUGGUAAGGUAACGGCUUACCAAGGCGACGAUCAGUAGCCGACCUGAGGGGGGGAUCGGCCACAGUGGCACUGAGACACGAUCCAAACUCCGACGGGAGGCAGCAGUGGGGAAUAUUGCACGGUGGGAGAAAGCCUGAUGCAGCAACGCCGCGUGAGCGAUGAAGGCCUUCGGGUCGUAAAGCUCUGUCCUCAAGGAAGAUAAUGACGGUACUUGAGGAGGAAGCCCCGGCUAACUACGUGCCAGCCGCCGCAGUAA